This 396-nucleotide ribosomal RNA is filed under the name uncultured bacterium. RNAcentral describes it as "partial 16S ribosomal RNA". It matches the Rfam family "Bacterial small subunit ribosomal RNA", at positions 360 to 773 of the family's 1533-position model. The record is from RNAcentral.
AAUCUUGCGCAAUGGGCGAAAGCCUGCCGCAGCCAUGCCGCGUGAAUGAUGAAGGUCUUCGGAUUGUGAAAUUCUUUCACCGGGGACGAUAAUGACGGUACCCGUAGAAGACGCCCUGGCUAACUUCGUUCCAGCAGCCGCGGUAAUACGAAGGGGGCUAGCGUUGCUCGGAAUUACUGGGCGUAAAGGGCGCGUAGGCGGACAUUUAAGUCAGGGGUGAAAUCCCAGAGCUCAACUCUGGAACUGCCUUUGAUACUGGGUGUCUUGAGGGUGAGAGAGGUAUGCGGAACUCCGAGUGUAGAGGUGAAAUUCGUAGAUAUUCGGAAGAACACCAGUGGCGAAGGCGACAUACUGGCUCAUUACUGACGCUGAGGCGCGAAAGCGUGGGGAGCAAAC